GCCCUCUUAGUUUAGUGGUUAGAAUUUUUCACUUGUAUUUACCUAGUAUUAGGUUGCCAAGAUGAAAGGGUCACCCGUUCAAACCGGGUAGAGGGCA
Apiotrichum porosum is the source of this 97-nucleotide non-coding RNA. NCBI's taxonomy places the organism in Eukaryota, Fungi, Basidiomycota, Tremellomycetes, Trichosporonales, Trichosporonaceae. The record is from the annotation of a RefSeq genome assembly.